GAGACGAGUGGCGAACUGGUGAGUAACACGUGGGCCACCUGCCCUUGAAGUAGGGGAUAACACUUGGAAACAGGUGCUAAUACCGUAUAACAACCAGAACCACCUGGUUUUGGUUUAAAAGAUGGCUUCGGCUAUCACUUUAGGAUGGACCCGCGGCGUAUUAGCUUGUUGGUAAGGUAACGGCCUACCAAGGCAAUGAUACGUAGCCGACCUGAGAGGGUAAUCGGCCACAUUGGGACUGAGACACGGCCCAAACUCCUACGGGAGGCAGCAGUAGGGAAUCUUCCACAAUGGACGAAAGUCUGAUGGAGCAACGCCGCGUGAGUGAUGAAGGGUUUCGGCUCGUAAAACUCUGUUGUUGGAGAAGAACAGGUGUGAGAGUAACUGUUCACAUCUUGACGGUAUCCAACCAGAAAGCCACGGCUAACUACGUGCCAGCAGCCGCGGUAAUACGUAGGUGGCAAGCGUUGUCCGGAUUUAUUGGGCGUAAAGCGAGCGCAGGCGGUUUCUUAGGUCUGAUGUGAAAGCCUUCGGCUUAACCGGAGAAGUGCAUCGGAAACCAGGAGACUUGAGUGCAGAAGAGGACAGUGGAACUCCAUGUGUAGCGGUGAAAUGCGUAGAUAUAUGGAAGAACACCAGUGGCGAAGGCGGCUGUCUGGUCUGUAACUGACGCUGAGGCUCGAAAGCAUGGGUAGCGAACAGGAUUAGAUACCCUGGUAGUCCAUGCCGUAAACGAUGAGUGCUAAGUGUUGGAGGGUUUCCGCCCUUCAGUGCUGCAGCUAACGCAUUAAGCACUCCGCCUGGGGAGUACGAC
Molecule: ribosomal RNA, 814 nt
Filed under: uncultured bacterium
Lineage: Bacteria
Description: bacterial SSU rRNA
Rfam family: Bacterial small subunit ribosomal RNA
Source: RNAcentral